RNAcentral lists this ribosomal RNA (777 nucleotides) under uncultured Neocallimastigales. Its description in RNAcentral is "partial large subunit ribosomal RNA". It matches the Rfam family "Eukaryotic large subunit ribosomal RNA", at positions 24 to 649 of the family's 3401-position model. Lineage: Eukaryota; Fungi; Neocallimastigomycota; Neocallimastigomycetes; Neocallimastigales. The record is from RNAcentral.
UACGACUACAUAUCAGGCAUAUCAAUAAGCGGAGGAAAAGAAACUAACAAGGAUUCCCUUAGUAACGGCGAGUGAAGCGGGAAGAGCUCAAAUUUGAAAUCUUCAAGGUUCUACCUUGACGAAUUGUAGUUUAAAGAAGUGUUUUCUGUUAGAUGAGUAGCAAAAGUUCCUUGGAAUGGGACAUCAUAGAGGGUGAGGAAUCCCGUAUUUGGUUAUUCAUUCUAGCUUUGUGAUACACUUUCAAAGAGUCGGAUUGUUUGGGAAUGCAGUCCAAAGAUGGGUGGUAAAUUUCAUCUAAAGCUAAAUAUUGGCGAGAGACCGAUAGCGAACAAGUACCGUGAGGGAAAGAUGAAAGAGAACUUUGAAAAGAGAGUUAAACAGUACGUGAAAUUGUCAAAAGGGAAGCGUUUGACACCAGUGUUGUUUUUCCGAAAAUCAAUUACGAAUGGCUUGAUUUUGUGUUGUAUUGACCUUAUCAGCUUUCUGCACUUUUUUCGAGUCUUUCUUAAUGCACUUUUCGGUUAACAAGUCAACAUCAAUUUCUUUUGCUGUAAAAGAGUAUUCGGAAGGUGGCUUUCUUUUCGGAGAAAGUGUUUAUAGCCCUAUACUUCUACAAUCGGAGAGAUUGAGGUCUGCAGCGUAGAUCCUUCGGGGUUAGAUACACUUGUGCUAAGUUGUAGCUUUUCAUAGACAACUUGUUGACUAUGUUUAGUCAUGCGGCUUACUCGCUUAUGCUAUUUUACCUACGCUUAGGAUGUUGAGUAGCGACAUACGCAC